Molecule: small nuclear RNA, 28 nt
Filed under: Arabidopsis thaliana (thale cress)
Lineage: Eukaryota; Viridiplantae; Streptophyta; Magnoliopsida; Brassicales; Brassicaceae
Description: snRNA_18558
Source: RNAcentral
AGAUAAACAAACUGUACUUUAUGAGAGC